AACGAACGCUGGCGGCAUGCCUAACACAUGCAAGUCGAACGAAGCCUUCGGGCUUAGUGGCGCACGGGUGCGUAACACGUGGGAAUCUGCCCUUCGGUUCGGAAUAACAGUUAGAAAUGACUGCUAAUACCGAAUGAUGACGUAAGUCCAAAGAUUUAUCGCCGAAGGAUGAGCCCGCGUAGGAUUAGGUAGUUGGUAGGGUAAUGGCCUACCAAGCCGACGAUCCUUAGCUGGUCUGAGAGGAUGAUCAGCCACACUGGGACUGAGACACGGCCCAGACUCCUACGGGAGGCAGCAGUGGGGAAUAUUGGACAAUGGGCGAAAGCCUGAUCCAGCAAUGCCGCGUGAGUGAUGAAGGCCUUAGGGUUGUAAAGCUCUUUUACCAGGGAUGAUAAUGACAGUACCUGGAGAAUAAGCUCCGGCUAACUCCGUG
RNAcentral lists this ribosomal RNA (433 nucleotides) under uncultured bacterium. RNAcentral's name for it is "bacterial SSU rRNA". It matches the Rfam family "Bacterial small subunit ribosomal RNA", at positions 29 to 507 of the family's 1533-position model. The record is from RNAcentral.